Molecule: ribosomal RNA, 311 nt
Filed under: uncultured prokaryote
Description: bacterial SSU rRNA
Rfam family: Bacterial small subunit ribosomal RNA
Source: RNAcentral
AGGAUAAACGCUGGCGGCGUGCUUAAUACAUGCAAGUCGAGCGGCAGCAUGGUCUUCGGACUGAUGGCGAGCGGCGGACGGCUGAGUAACGCGUAGGAACGUACCCCAAAGUGAGGAAUAACUGCCCGAAAGGGUAGCUAAUGCCGCAUGUGGUCUUCGGAUUAAAGCUUUAUGCGCUUUGGGAACGGCCUGCGUACGAUUAGCUUGUUGGUGAGGUAAUGGCUCACCAAGGCAAUGAUCGUUAGCUGGUCUGAGAGGGUGAACGGCCACACUGGGACUGAGAUACGGCCCAGACUCCUACGGGCGGCAGC